This is a long non-coding RNA of Ictidomys tridecemlineatus (thirteen-lined ground squirrel), 637 nucleotides long. RefSeq lists it as uncharacterized. Lineage: Eukaryota; Metazoa; Chordata; Mammalia; Rodentia; Sciuridae. The record is from RefSeq and is a predicted model, not a curated record.
GUGGCGCUCAGCCCUGUCCGUACUUCUGGUUGUGGCUGAGAGUCAAAAAUCUGAGCUGGAGGAGGAGGAGUGAGCCGGGGAGAGCAUGGCUGCAGGAUCCGAGUUCCCUGGACUUGCUGCCCGUAAGCUGGUGCCUCCUCCUCUCCCGACACAUCUGUAGGGGUGUCCCUGAGAUAAGGGAACUCAUCUUUAUUUGAACCCAGCAUCUGUCUUCUCUCCAAACUCUUCCCUCCUCCUCCUCCAGUGCAUGGCGCCGGCAUCCACCCAGUUCGACAACAAAGAUUCCAGGAGGCGUUGUGAAUUUCUGCCCAAGUGCGCGGAUCCUGGGGGAGAAGCCACCCUGACAUCUUAUUCAUGAUUAUCAGGCUGUUUGCUAUCAGUGCCCGUCGCGGCGCAGGCAACGUUCAAUCCGCAGCUUUGAAGAGGCAGGUACCACGAAUCCUACAACUGCAAGAAAUGAAGUGUUGUCAACCAGAACAUGACGUUGAAAGAGAACCUUGACCUCACAUGAGAGCCCAGCUCUGCCCAGCGUGUUGAAUGCAGCCUCGUGAGACCAUGAGCAAAGGACCCUACACCAUGCCUGAUGGACAGAGACUGAGACAAGAAGCGUGUGUUGUUUUGAAUUACAGUAGAUGGG